This is a non-coding RNA of Oryzias latipes (Japanese medaka), 256 nucleotides long. NCBI's taxonomy places the organism in Eukaryota, Metazoa, Chordata, Actinopteri, Beloniformes, Adrianichthyidae. The record is from RefSeq and is a predicted model, not a curated record.
CAAGGUUCAGAGCAACACAGCUGCAGCUGAAAUCCUGGAUGAAGGUGGAAGGAAAGCUCUGAAGGGGAGCGGCCUGCAGGUGAGACCCCACCUGUGAAGGGGAGCGGCCUGCAGGUGAGACCUCACCUUAGAAACGCAGCAGCCUGCAGGUGAGACCUCACCUUAGAAACGCAGCGGCCUGCAGGUGAGACCCCACCUGUGAAGGGGAGCGGCCUGCAGGUGAGAUCCCACCUUAGAAACGCAGCAGCCUGCAGGU